GCCUAAUACAUGCAAGUCGAGCGAACAGAUAAGGAGCUUGCUCCUUUGACGUUAGCGGCGGACGGGUGAGUAACACGUGGAUAACCUACCUAUAAGACUGGGAUAACUUCGGGAAACCGGAGCUAAUACCGGAUAACAUAUUGAACCGCAUGGUUCAAUAGUGAAAGGCGGCUUUGCUGUCACUUAUAGAUGGAUCCGCGCCGUAUUAGCUAGUUGGUAAGGUAACGGCUUACCAAGGCAACGAUACGUAGCCGACCUGAGAGGGUGAUCGGCCACACUGGAACUGAGACACGGUCCAGACUCCUACGGGAGGCAGCAGUAGGGAAUCUUCCGCAAUGGGCGAAAGCCUGACGGAGCAACGCCGCGUGAGUGAUGAAGGUCUUCGGAUCGUAAAACUCUGUUAUCAGGGAAGAACAAAUGUGUAAGUAACUGUGCACAUCUUGACGGUACCUGAUCAGAAAGCCACGGCUAACUACGUGCCAGCAGCCGCGGUAAUACGUAGGUGGCAAGCGUUAUCCGGAAUUAUUGGGCGUAAAGCGCGCGUAGGCGGUUUUUUAAGUCUGAUGUGAAAGCCCACGGCUCAACCGUGGAGGGUCAUUG
RNAcentral lists this ribosomal RNA (600 nucleotides) under uncultured bacterium. RNAcentral describes it as "bacterial SSU rRNA". It matches the Rfam family "Bacterial small subunit ribosomal RNA", at positions 46 to 628 of the family's 1533-position model. The record is from RNAcentral.